Molecule: ribosomal RNA, 253 nt
Filed under: uncultured bacterium
Lineage: Bacteria
Description: partial 16S ribosomal RNA
Rfam family: Bacterial small subunit ribosomal RNA
Source: RNAcentral
UACGGAGGGGGCUAGCGUUGUUCGGAAUUACUGGGCGUAAAGCGCACGUAGGCAGAUAUUUAAGUCAGGGGUGAAAUCCCGGGGCUCAACCCCGGAACUGCCUUUGAUACUGGGUAUCUGGAGGUCGAGAGAGGCGAGUGGAAUUCCGAGUGUAGAGGUGAAAUUCGUAGAUAUCAGGAGGAACACCAGUGGCGAAGGCGGCUUCCUGGACACCAACUGACGCUGAGACGCGAAAGCGUGGGGAGCAAACAGG